GGGUCAGUAGGUUGGUCGUGCCACCGGUACGUACUGGUCUCACUGAUUCCUCCUUCCUGAAGAACCGUAAUGCCAUUAAUUUGGUGUUGCGGGGAAACAGGACUGUUACUUUGAAAAGAUUAGAGUGUUUAAAGCAAGCUAACGCUUGAAUACAUUAGCAUGGAAUAAUGAAAUAGGACGAUCGAUCCUAUUUUGUUGGCUUCUAGGAUUGACGUA
This 216-nucleotide ribosomal RNA is filed under the name Glomeromycotina sp. Its description in RNAcentral is "partial small subunit ribosomal RNA". The stretch from base 40 to 216 matches the Rfam family "Eukaryotic small subunit ribosomal RNA", at positions 686 to 864 of the family's 1831-position model. Lineage: Eukaryota; Fungi; Glomeromycota. The record is from RNAcentral.